Long non-coding RNA from Colius striatus (speckled mousebird), 1338 nucleotides. RefSeq lists it as uncharacterized. NCBI's taxonomy places the organism in Eukaryota, Metazoa, Chordata, Aves, Coliiformes, Coliidae. The transcript has 3 exons. The record is from RefSeq and is a predicted model, not a curated record.
GGCAGGCAGCUCGCGAAAACCGCAAGGCGGAGGGGGCCGCAGCCCGUGCGGGCACGCGGCAAAGCCCGCGGAGCCGCGGCAAGGACGGAGCUCCGGAGGGAGGAGGACGCGAAGGAAGCCAGCGGGUUUCCUAGUUGAGGGAGGGCCUGGCGAGCGGGACCUCCGCGGCCAGGGGACGGGACGGGCUCCCCGACCCUUUCUCACCUUUCACGAACUCCGAGGCUCCCCCCAGCACUUCGGAGGCGUCUGCUGCCGGCUCCAUCUUAAACAGGGUGCGGAGCAGCGAGGCGCGGGGCGGCUCCGAACUCAUGGCGCUGCCGGGCAGCCCCGGAGGGGCCGGGGUACGCUCGCUGGGAAGCGACCCGUUGCCCGGCGGGGCCGCCCGCCAGGCGCCACGCUGCUGGGAGCGCCGCUGCCGCAGCCCGCAUAGGAACGGGAGCAGAGACGAGAAGUAGCUGCAGGACACGGCGAGCCGCCGAGCGAGCAGGCGAGCGAGCGCCCGCAGGGACUUCAGCUACACCCCGCCCCCAGCCAGGAGACGCCCCCGGAUAAAGAGGCAGCGGGCGGUUACCAGGCGACCGGCGGCGCUCCGGCAACCGCGUUACCGAGCCUUUGUCUCGCCCGGCCCGGGGCCGAAGCUGAGGCGGGCGAGCGACCGGCCCCCCUCCCUAGCCCCCGCGGGGCGGCUGCUCCGCCCUCCGCCUCACAGCGCCUCAGCACAGAGCAACCCACCCGCGCCGCUGACCCGCCCGGCAGCCGCUUUGCACCCGGCACAGCCCCGCCCUCCGCCUCAGCCGCGCUCCACGCCCCCCUCCCGCCGCGGCGCGGCCCUCUCCGCGCCCGGACAGACCUCCCGCGCCUUCGCUGCUCCCGCCCGAGGACGGCCCGUGGCACAACGCCCAGCGGAGACAGAGCGGGUCUUGAGGCACGUCUGGCAGGGCCUGAGGCGGCGGAAGGCACAACCUGAACCGCAGCUAAUACCUCAGCAGUGCCGCUCCAGCUCGGGAUGGAGGUAGAAGAUUCACUUUGUGGUGGGCCAUUUGCAAAAGCUGAAUUAAGCUUGUGGUCUGCGUUUGACUCGCUGCCAAAGAAACAAGCAUGAAAAGAGUGAGGAAUGCCUUCCUUCUGCCACCCUCUCCUUCAGAAAGCAUACUACCAGCUCCAGGAAUAAUAUUCCUAAAUAUGACUCUUUGGGCCUGGUCCUGUCAACUUAGGUAAGAAACCUUAUUGUCAGUACUAAGUGCUAUUCCAUAUAAGAUGCUUGCAAGACUGAGGUUAUAGUCUUCUGUAACAGCAAAUUAAAUAAAGGUUGUUUGCAUAUAUUUGCUUUUCAUGGAA